This 388-nucleotide ribosomal RNA is filed under the name uncultured Caldithrix sp. RNAcentral's name for it is "bacterial SSU rRNA". It matches the Rfam family "Bacterial small subunit ribosomal RNA", at positions 958 to 1346 of the family's 1533-position model. Lineage: Bacteria; Pseudomonadati; Calditrichota; Calditrichia; Calditrichales; Calditrichaceae. The record is from RNAcentral.
AACGCGAAGAACCUUACCGGGGUUUGACAUCAUAGUGAAGUAUGCAGAGAUGUAUGCGCCUUUCGGGGCGCUAUGACAGGUGCUGCAUGGCUGUCGUCAGCUCGUGUCGUGAGAUGUUGGGUUAAGUCCCGCAACGAGCGCAACCCUUGCCCCUAGUUGCCAGCAGGUAAAGCUGGGGACUCUAGGGGGACAGUCGGCGAUAAGCCGGAGGAAGGUGGGGAUGACGUCAAGUCCUCAUGGCCCUUACAUCCCGGGCUACACACGUGCUACAAUGGCUGGUACAACGGGGAGCGAUACUGCGAAGUGGAGCGAAUCCCUAAAAACCGGUCUCAGUUCGGAUUGCAGUCUGCAACUCGACUGCAUGAAGUCGGAAUCGCUAGUAAUCGCG